AUUGAACGCUGGCGGCAGGCUUAACACAUGCAAGUCGAGCGGGGUGAUGGUGCUUGCACUAUCACUUAGCGGCGGACGGGUGAGUAAUGCUUAGGAAUCUGCCUAUUAGUGGGGGACAACAUCUCGAAAGGGAUGCUAAUACCGCAUACGUCCUACGGGAGAAAGCAGGGGAUCACUUGUGACCUUGCGCUAAUAGAUGAGCCUAAGUCGGAUUAGCUAGUUGGUGGGGUAAAGGCCUACCAAGGCGACGAUCUGUAGCGGGUCUGAGAGGAUGAUCCGCAACACUGGGACUGGGAAACGGCCCAGACUACUACGGGAGGCAGCAGUGGGGAAUAUUGGACAAUGGGGGGAACCCUGAUCCAGCCAUGCCGCGUGUGUGAAGAAGGCCUUAUGGUUGUAAAGCACUUUAAGCGAGGAGGAGGCUCUUUUGGUUAAUACCCAAGAUGAGUGGACGUUACUCGCAGAAUAAGCACCGGCUAACUCUGUGCCAGCAGCCGCCGUAA
RNAcentral lists this ribosomal RNA (503 nucleotides) under uncultured bacterium. RNAcentral describes it as "partial 16S ribosomal RNA". It matches the Rfam family "Bacterial small subunit ribosomal RNA", at positions 30 to 523 of the family's 1533-position model. The record is from RNAcentral.